This 888-nucleotide long non-coding RNA is filed under the name Oryza sativa Indica Group (long-grained rice). RNAcentral describes it as "lncRNA OsMH63_02G005190". The record is from RNAcentral. Lineage: Eukaryota; Viridiplantae; Streptophyta; Magnoliopsida; Poales; Poaceae.
GAUGGAGGCAAGUUUUCGAAGACCACGUGAUUCCAAAUUUUCCAAAAACAGAGGUAGAAGCAUCGAAAAUGGUCAUUUGGAACGCGGUGCAGAGGAGAUCCAUCCAACAUCUAGAGCUCCUGUCAAAUUCAUGCCUUGUAAAGCUAUCUUUUCCUGCGCUUGGAAGACUUCACCAUCAACGUCCUCGGCGCUUCAUCAGCCAUCUUAAAUUCAACAUAUUGCUCCUGCACAACCGACAGAAGAGGAGCAGGAUUCGUGUUCCUACAUACUUAUAUAUGUUCCGUUUCACAACAAUGGGAGGAAUACAAAUCACAGGAUUAUCUUCCAUUUUGGAGAAGGACAGAUACAGACCUCCUCCCACUUUCUCUGGAGCUGCAGAAGCUCUUCACAGCAUGCCACACACUCAGCAUGAUUUUGCAAGCAAUGCAUCAAUAAAACUCAAAAUAUCUCUAAGUACUAUAAAGAGGCCAGUGUACUAUGUGAAAGUCAUGGAGAGGCCUCCUGAGCGGCCCAACUACUACACUUGGACUCUUUCUCUCUCAUUCCACUCUGAGCGGAACUCUUCUUGCUCGCCACCGCCGCCGGCGAAGGGGAUCGAUCGGAUGGGAACGUCGGUGCAGGUGACUCCGUUGAGUGGGGCGUACGGUGAGGGACCCCUCUGCUACCUACUCGCCGUCGAUGGCUUCUGCUUCCUCCUCGACUGCGGCUGGACCGACCUCCCACCUCCAACCCCUCGCCAAGUACGCUCCACGCUUACUCCUACCUCCAACCCCUCGCCUAGUCGGGCCUCUUCAAUCUCCGACCACUUUGGAUUGCAGGUAAAUGUUGUGAAUACAUCAGGCGCACCAUACACACGGCAUAUAGCUACUGCAUCUUGAUAGUUCUAAU